This 67-nucleotide transfer RNA is filed under the name Bulbitermes sp. B TB-2017. Its description in RNAcentral is "tRNA-Leu". It matches the Rfam family "tRNA". From Rfam's summary of the family: Transfer RNA (tRNA) molecules are approximately 80 nucleotides in length. Their secondary structure includes four short double-helical elements and three loops (D, anti-codon, and T loops). Further hydrogen bonds mediate the characteristic L-shaped molecular structure. tRNAs have two regions of fundamental functional importance: the anti-codon, which is responsible for specific mRNA codon recognition, and the 3' end, to which the tRNAs corresponding amino acid is attached (by aminoacyl-tRNA synthetases). tRNAs cope with the degeneracy of the genetic code in two manners: having more than one tRNA (with a specific anti-codon) for a particular amino acid; and 'wobble' base-pairing, i.e. permitting non-standard base-pairing at the 3rd anti-codon position. Lineage: Eukaryota; Metazoa; Arthropoda; Insecta; Blattodea; Termitidae. The record is from RNAcentral.
ACUAUUUUGGCAGAUAAGUGCAUUAGAUUUAGAAUCUAUUAAUGUGAAAUUAUAUUUACAAGUAGUA